Molecule: ribosomal RNA, 452 nt
Filed under: uncultured eukaryote
Lineage: Eukaryota
Description: bacterial SSU rRNA
Rfam family: Eukaryotic small subunit ribosomal RNA
Source: RNAcentral
UCCGGCCAGUACUCAAAUGCUUGCCUCAAAAAUAAACCCCUUUUUGUGUAAGUAUAAGAAUUAUACGGCCAAACUCCAAAUGGCUCAUUAAAACAGUUAUGAUUUAUUUGAUAAUCAAACUUUACUGGGAUAACCGUGACAAAUUACACCUAACACAUGCAGCCAAACCUGGCCCAGGGGUCCAAAUUAUAAGUACCAACCCAAUUCCCCAAGGAAUGUGAUAAAUCAAACUAAUCAAACAAAUCGAAGGUAUAUCCAAUAAGUCAUUCAAUUUUCUGCCCUAUCACCUUUGGAUGGAAGUGAAUUGCACUCCCAUGGCACUCACGGGAAACGAAAAAUUAGGGUUCGAUUCCGGAAAGGGAUCCUAAAAAACGGCUCCCACAUCCAAGGAAGGAAGCCGGCCCCCAAAUUACCCAUUCCUGACACAGGGAGGUAGUGACAAUAAAUAACAA